RNAcentral lists this ribosomal RNA (395 nucleotides) under uncultured bacterium. RNAcentral's name for it is "partial 16S ribosomal RNA". It matches the Rfam family "Bacterial small subunit ribosomal RNA", at positions 523 to 918 of the family's 1533-position model. The record is from RNAcentral.
AUACGUAGGGUGCAAGCGUUAAUCGGAAUUACUGGGCGUAAAGCGUGCGCAGGCGGUUUUGGAAGACAGAGGUGAAAUCCCCGGGCUCAACCUGGGAACUGCCUUUGUGACUGCAAGGCUAGAGUACGGCAGAGGGGGAUGGAAUUUCGCGUGUUGCAGUGAAAUGCGUAGAUAUGCGGAGGAGCACCGAUGGCGAAGGCAAUCCCCUGGGCCUGUACUGACGCUCAUGCACGAAAGCGUGGGGAGCAAACAGGAUUAGAUACCCUGGUAGUCCACGCCCUAAACGAUGUCAACUGGUUGUUGGGUCUUCAUUGACUCAGUAACGAAGCUAACGCGUGAAGUUGACCGCCUGGGGAGUACGGCCGCAAGGUUGAAACUCAAAUGAAUUGACGGGG